UGGCAGCGGUGGGCGUGGGGGACAAAGCGCGUCCCCUCUGCUCUGAGCUCAGGCAGCCCGUGCUGCUCCGGCAGCUUGCAUGGGAAGAGGGAGGUGUGAGGGGAUUGCCGCUGGCGGCACAGUGGUGCGGCUGCAGGUCGGCUGGCAGGAGGCAGGGAUGGAGCAAACAAAGGGUUUUGGUGCGUGGGGGGCAGGAGGGAGCAGCCCGUGUUUGUUCCAGCCGAAGGUUUGUGUCCUUGGGCUCGUGUUGCAGGAGAGCGGGCAUCCACUGCUCAUGCUCUGCUGGGGGAGAUCUGGUCGGUGAGAGGAAGGCGGUGCUGCUCACUUAGGUCCGAAGAAAAUGUAAGGAUGCUCUGUGUGCUGCCUGCCGAUGACUUUUGGCCAGACAGGCCAGCAAAUUUGCACAAAUUUGGCUUUCUUAAUAACCGGAGCUCAUGGCAUGCAGGAGGCAUGCAGCAGCCUCUUUCGUUCCAGCUGACAAACCCAGCGACAACGCAGCAUCCUCAGCCGGGUGAAUACCUUCUCAUGCCUACACUGAAUUUCAAUUUUAAUAUCAAAACUAAAGACUCACAUAUGGUUUGAGCUGCUAGAUGCAUUAAUUUCACGCUUCUGCUCCUGACACUUGAGAGGCACAGGAUUUUGCUAAGCUGUUUAACUGCAACACAUUUUUCAGCAGGCAGUAUUUUACAAGCUAUAGAAAUGCCUAAAAAGGCUCCAGUGGAUGCCAGCAGUCCCAAAAGCCUGAAGCAAGCAUGUAUAUGCUGAAAGUGGGACUACAUUGAAUUACAAAUUAUAAAUCAUGAAAUCAAGAUCCAAAACAGCACACGCUGCAGUGGUGUGUUCUUUCCAAGUAGUGAAAUAGCGCCAUUAGCAAUGGAGGACUGCAUUAGUGCAGAAUGCAAAUGAAGUUGAUGCUACCAGGUACGGACUGUGAACCCAUGACUAAGGCACUUGCAUUGAGGACGGUCUUUACUUGCAAGAUGGAUGUGAAGCCAGGGCAACUCAAAGAGCAAAGACUUUGAUUCCAUUACAGAGUGAGUGAGGAUGAACAAGCAAGACCAGAUGCAGCGAUAAGACAGUAGCUUUGUUUCCCCAAACACAGUGAGGAGGCAGAUGUCUACUUGGCAUCCAUCUGGGAAAGCCUGACCUCCCUGAAUUCCUCUGCAUUGACACUUAGCCACACUCCCACCACCCAUGUUCCCCUAAAGCCAACACAACCAGAACAACCUCCACCGCAAGCCUCUACAAUUCUUCUAACUGUGGUGGGGUGGACAGACAGCCCCCUCUGCCCAGCACAAGGGGGUGAGGAGCAGCUCUGGAGAAGCACUUUGAAGAUCCCUGAGCAGACCCUGCUGCUGAAGGAACACCCCAGCUGGGCUGAGGACCUGGCUCAACCCCUUCUCUGUUCACUGCAACACAAAAUCACGUAAGGAUAACACAGCCAACCAAGGCAAAACAAAGCAAAGCAAAACACACCCAGUGAGAGGCCACAGCAGCCUGCUGGCAGUUGUUAUGCAGUUAAUUUUCUUUCACUUUUAAUAAGUUGAUGUUUUAUUGAUUUUUCUUGCACUUGGUUUGUUGUUCCGAAUGUUUGCGUACUGGCUGUGCGCUUACCUCACAGGCAAAUCACUCUAAGAGAUAACUAGCUGCAAGAGUACAUGGACAAUGACUUCCCAUCAAGGAAUGCUGUUUAGAUGUUAAUGUCUUUGCUGAAAUGUUUCUUUCCUAAGUGAUUCAUGCUAUUUCUCUCACUGCUUACACUGAGUGUAUGCAUUUUUGGCUGCCUUAACACUGUAGGGUUUAGAACUAUGCUGUGUCUUUAAAAAUAAUUUACAAAGAUUGGCCAUUUCCAUGUAACAAAAUGAAGAAGAGGCAAUAAAGCUAAGCACUGGGUUUUAUUUUUCA
Molecule: long non-coding RNA, 1905 nt
Filed under: Numida meleagris (helmeted guineafowl)
Lineage: Eukaryota; Metazoa; Chordata; Aves; Galliformes; Numididae
Description: lncRNA (ENSNMEG00000007554.1)
Source: RNAcentral